CAACAACAGGCUGGCGGCAAAAAUUUCUACGGCAGUUUCUCUUGAACCAGGCAGAAAACAACCCCUGAGGCUGCUCGGUGCUCCCUAGUCUCCUGGUUUGCAUUGCACAUCCAUUUUGAGCCUGCUGCUACUGAUGAGAAAAUGACCUCAAACAACUGCCCACUAAAGGUCCCAUGUUGUGACGAUGCCGGGGGCUUUCUGCAUAGCGCUCCGCUUCUCAGACUGAGCAGCUUCUGGAGUUUUGUACAAUGCCUGGGCCUGAGGAAACCUGCCAGGAUAUUCCUGCCCCAGGAAGAGAGCCCUGUGUAUUCUGUUGGACAGAUCUGCUGAUUUUCAAGUUUCCAAGACUCCUCCAGACUUAAGAAGUACUGUUUUAUAUUAAAUAUUUUGCAAAGAUGGUUCCAGCUUCCUACCCUUCCAGUUAAAAUAAACAAAAACGAGGGUCUUGAGUGUCUAUGAUUUUCAUAAGAUCUAUGGCGUUUCUUCUGCAGAUGAUCAACAGUUGCCUGCCUUGGACUUUGGAGUUCCCAAGAACUAGGUAGGUAAUGGAAUUAGGUCACACUGACAUCCAGUGAUGGAAUUUGCCCAGUGACAUUAAUGCAUCGAUUGCUUCCUAUAUAUUUCAGUGUCAUAAACAAAGUUUCUCUUUCCUUUUCAAGAAGAAAAGAGCAUGGUGGAAACAGAGAAGUGUGUCUUUUGUUUGGUCAGCAAGGCAGGAAAGGCCUUGUGUGCUCUGUCCGUCAACACUGAUAAGCUGUGACAUCGGGAGGCUGGGAGGAUCCCCAGCUGUUCCACCUACACUGGGUCCCAGGGCGCGUGAUCCUGCUCAGGAAGCAAGGGGAGCUCAAACAGGGAAAGAUGAGCACCAUGAACACAAAUAGUCUACUCGGAGUUUCUUAAAUUAUUUGAGUAUCCAUAUAUUUGACUUCAAG
This 932-nucleotide long non-coding RNA is filed under the name Homo sapiens (human). Its description in RNAcentral is "HSALNT0139270". The record is from RNAcentral. Lineage: Eukaryota; Metazoa; Chordata; Mammalia; Primates; Hominidae.